Molecule: small nucleolar RNA, 128 nt
Organism: Uloborus diversus
Lineage: Eukaryota; Metazoa; Arthropoda; Arachnida; Araneae; Uloboridae
Product: small nucleolar RNA SNORA13
Exons: 1
Source: RefSeq, a predicted model, not a curated record
UGCCUUGGUGUUACAUGCUUUUCUCUUGUUGAAUAGCAGAGUGUCAAACAAGGCAAAUAACAAUUUAAUUUUCAUCAGUAUGCUCUUAAAUCACAAUAUUUCAGAGCUUAGAUGUAAAUUAAACAUGU